GAGCCGGAAAAAGCAAGCGGGCUACCGGGAUGUCAGGCCCGGAGCCUGCCCUCCCUAGCAAGGCGUCCCAUUGGUCCGGAUUCAAGCCCCGCCCCAAAGGUGUGGUCUACGCACAAGCCCCGCCCACACUCUCCUAAGCUGCCUGUGCUUACCAAACUCUUCCACGUGCGUCUGGGGUGUCUUCUGCAACGUAGUGGGUCACGAUCCUCAGAGUCUCCCGUGACCGACAGACUAGCAUAUGCCCAAGGUGCGGGUCUGACUGCAACCCGAGCUCCGAGGCGUCCCCAGGAGUAUCUGAAAGGGGCGCGUGACGACUGCGGAAAAGUGGAGUGGGCGGAACCGCGGCACCUGACUCAGGUGUGUACUCGGGAACAGCAAGCUACGUCGGUCGGCGCCUUCCGUAGUCGUACUAUUCCAGUUUCUCCGGAGACCCAGAAUGUCCUGGGGCUUCCAGUCUCGUCCCUUUCACGUCCAGAUGAGACCCUCUCCUCGUCCAGUUUCAGCCCGUAGGCUGCGCUCUUCUCUUCGGCCACCGGAGGGAGCCGUGAACCUCCAUCCAGACGCUGGUCCGGGUGAAUAAGCAGGUCUUACCAACGGCGCUUCCUCACCUAUAAAACGGGACUUAACUAUGACAUCCCUUCUAAAAGAGCAUUGGAGAAUUAA
RNAcentral lists this small RNA (663 nucleotides) under Rattus norvegicus (Norway rat). Its description in RNAcentral is "uncharacterized LOC103691283". Lineage: Eukaryota; Metazoa; Chordata; Mammalia; Rodentia; Muridae. The record is from RNAcentral.